GAUGAACGCUGGCGGCGUGCCUAACACAUGCAAGUCGAACGAAGCACCUAACUUUGAUUCCUUCGGGCUGAAGAGUUUUGUGACUGAGUGGCGGACGGGUGAGUAACGCGUGGGUAACCUGCCUCAUACAGGGGGAUAACAGUUAGAAAUGACUGCUAAUACCGCAUAAGCGCACAGCAUCGCAUGGUGCAGUGUGAAAAACUCCGGUGGUAUGAGAUGGACCCGCGUCUGAUUAGCUAGUUGGCGAGGUAACGGCUCACCAAGGCGACGAUCAGUAGCCGGCCUGAGAGGGUGAACGGCCACAUUGGGACUGAGACACGGCCCUU
Molecule: ribosomal RNA, 326 nt
Filed under: uncultured bacterium
Lineage: Bacteria
Description: bacterial SSU rRNA
Rfam family: Bacterial small subunit ribosomal RNA
Source: RNAcentral